UACGAAGGGGGCUAGCGUUGCUCGGAAUCACUGGGCGUAAAGCGCACGUAGGCGGACUCUUAAGUCGGUGGUGAAAUCCUGGAGCUCAACUCCAGAACUGCCUUCGAUACUGGGAGUCACGAGUUCGGGAGAGGUGAGUGGAACUGCGAGUGUAGAGGUGAAAUUCGUAGAUAUUCGCAAGAACACCAGUGGCGAAGGCGGCUCACUGGCCCGAUACUGACGCUGAGGUGCGAAAGCGUGGGGAGCAAACAGG
RNAcentral lists this ribosomal RNA (253 nucleotides) under uncultured bacterium. Its description in RNAcentral is "partial 16S ribosomal RNA". It matches the Rfam family "Bacterial small subunit ribosomal RNA", at positions 524 to 776 of the family's 1533-position model. The record is from RNAcentral.